RNAcentral lists this ribosomal RNA (406 nucleotides) under uncultured bacterium. RNAcentral's name for it is "partial 16S ribosomal RNA". It matches the Rfam family "Bacterial small subunit ribosomal RNA", at positions 30 to 526 of the family's 1533-position model. The record is from RNAcentral.
AUUGAACGCUGGCGGCAGGCUUAACACAUGCAAGUCGAACGAGUGGCCGACGGGUGAGUAAUGCUUGGGAAUCUAGCUUAUGGAGGGGGAUAACUACGGGAAACUUUAGCUAAUACCGCGUACCAUAGGAAGAGCCCAAGUGGGAUUAGGUCGUUGGUGAGGUAAAGGCUCACCAAGCCGACGAUCUCUAGCUGGUCUGAGAGGAUGACCAGCCACAAUGGGACUGAGAAACGGCCCAGACGCCGACGGGAGGCAGCAGUGGGGAAUAUUGCACAAUGGGCGCAAGCCUGAUGCAGCCAGGCCGCGUGUGUGAAGAAGGCCUUCGGGUGGUAAAGCACUUUCAGCGAGGAGGCGUUACUCGCAGAAGAAGCACCGGCUAACUCCGUGCCAGCAGCCGCGGUAAUUC